Molecule: ribosomal RNA, 1357 nt
Filed under: uncultured bacterium
Lineage: Bacteria
Description: bacterial SSU rRNA
Rfam family: Bacterial small subunit ribosomal RNA
Source: RNAcentral
GGACGAACGCUGGCGGCGUGCCUAACACAUGCAAGUCGAGCGGAGUCGAUCGACGGAAGCCUUCGGGCGGAAGAUGGUUGACUUAGCGGCGGAUGGGUGAGUAACGCGUGGGCAACCUGCCUCGAAGACCGGGAUAACAGCCCGAAAGGGCUGCUAAUACCGGAUGUGGUCAAAGAUCCGCAUGGAUUUUUGAUUAAAGGGGAAACCCGUUUCGAGAUGGGCCCGCGUCCUAUCAGCUAGUUGGUGAGGUAAAAGCUCACCAAGGCGACGACGGGUAGCCGGCCUGAGAGGGUGACCGGCCACACUGGAACUGAGACACGGUCCAGACUCCUACGGGGGGCAGCAGUGGGGAAUCUUCCACAAUGGGCGAAAGCCUGAUGGAGCGACGCCGCGUGAGCGAAGAAGGCCUUCGGGUUGUAAAGCUCUGUCUGGAGGGACGAAGGAAGUGACGGUACCUCCGGAGGAAGCCACGGCUAACUACGUGCCAGCAGCCGCGGUAAUACGUAGGGGGCGAGCGUUGUCCGGAAUUACUGGGCGUAAAGGGUACGCAGGCGGUCAUGUAAGUCAGAUGUGAAAUCCUAAGGCUUAACCUUAGUAAGCAUUUGAAACUGCGUGGCUUGAGUUAAGGAGAGGAAAGUGGAAUUCCUGGUGUAGCGGUGAAAUGCGUAGAUAUCAGGAGGAAUACCAGUGGCGAAGGCGACUUUCUGGCCUUAAACUGACGCUGAGGUACGAAAGCGUGGGGAGCAAACAGGAUUAGAUACCCUGGUAGUCCACGCUGUAAACGAUGAGUGCUAGGUGUCGGGUGUCAAAGCUCGGUGCCGCAGUAAACACAUUAAGCACUCCGCCUGGGGAGUACGUUCGCAAGAAUGAAACUCAAAGGAAUUGACGGGGACCCGCACAAGCAGCGGAGCAUGUGGUUUAAUUCGAAGCAACGCGAAGAACCUUACCAGGGCUUGACAUCCCUCUGACCGCUCUAGAGAUAGAGUUUUCUCUUCGGAGACAGAGGAGACAGGUGGUGCAUGGUUGUCGUCAGCUCGUGUCGUGAGAUGUUGGGUUAAGUCCCGCAACGAGCGCAACCCUCGUCCUAUGUUGCCAGCGAGUCAUGUCGGGGACUCAUAGGAGACCGCCGGGGUCAACUCGGAGGAAGGUGGGGAUGACGUCAAGUCAUCAUGCCCCUUAUGUCUAGGGCUGCACACAUGCUACAAUGGCCGGUACAAAGGGCUGCGAUACCGCGAGGUGGAGCGAAUCCCAUAAAGCCGGUCUCAGUUCGGAUUGGGGUCUGCAACUCGACCCCAUGAAGUCGGAGUCGCUAGUAAUCCCAGAUCAGCAACGCUGGGGUGAAUACGUUCCCGGGCCU